AUGCCAUUGUUUCUAGGUGUCCAAUCAGAGGUCCAGCUGAUAGAGUCCGGAGGGGAUAUCAAAAGGCCUGGAGAGUCCCUCCGUCUCUCAUGUCGAGCCUCCGGGUUCACCUUCAGUAGCUUUGGAAUGCAUUGGAUAAGACAGGCUCCGGGGAAGGGCUUAGAAUGGAUUGCAGUAAUAUGGUAUGAUGGUAGCCAACAAUAUUACGCUGAGUCGGUGAAAGGGCGCUUCACCAUCUCCCGGGACAACCCUUCAAGCAUGCUGUAUCUGCAGAUGAACAACCUGAAAGCCGAUGACACCGCUCUGUAUUACUGUGCAAGAGACACAGUGAGAGGAAGUGAAUCUGAAGCCAGGCAAAAACCUCAUUUGUUAGCUCUCUUGGCUGAUUCAGCUGCAGCUACAAUAGACUAA
Rhineura floridana is the source of this 411-nucleotide non-coding RNA. Lineage: Eukaryota; Metazoa; Chordata; Lepidosauria; Squamata; Rhineuridae. The record is from the annotation of a RefSeq genome assembly.